This 1412-nucleotide long non-coding RNA is filed under the name Taeniopygia guttata (zebra finch). RNAcentral describes it as "lncRNA (ENSTGUG00000024047.1)". The record is from RNAcentral. Lineage: Eukaryota; Metazoa; Chordata; Aves; Passeriformes; Estrildidae.
AGCUGGCGCUGUGCUGGUGCCAGGUGAGAUUUCCAGGCUGGAUCUGCUGGAGGGACCUGGAAGAGGCGGCUGUGCUCCUGUUCGUGUCCUGGAGCUGGAGGAAAAGGGUGGAAAUCCGGUCAUGAAUCCUUCCCAAAGGAAGAGUUGGAGGUGGUCAAGAGAAGGAGCUGCUCCAGGCUGUGAUUUAUUCAUGAUGAGUUUCUCCAAACUGUGUUCUGCUGCUGGCUGGCAGCUGCUGCCACACUCCCCACACUUCCAGCAUAUGGAGAGGAGGAAUCCGCAGCCCUGGCCCUGGGCUGGGGUGAAUGUUGUGCUGAUUUACAGCCAGCUGCACGCUGAGGGGUGAGGCAGACACUCUGGUUGGCAUCUGGAUCUCCACAAGCUCAUUAGCAGCUCUGUGCAAGCUGCACUUACCCAGUGUAACCCUGACAGCUUUUUGGGAGGAUUCUGCAGCCUUCAAAGCAGGAGAUAAGACAGGAAUGUUGCAGGAAGGGAGGAUGGUGUGGCUGGGGACACAGCAGAGGCACGCCCAAGCUUGGAAGAGAAGGAAAUCUCCAUGUGCUGCUGGAGGCUCUCUCUGACAAGGCACACGCCUCUGAUCAUCCCUGAUCCCCUCCUUGAUCACUGGAGUUGCUGCCCGAGCUGCCUGCACAGCUCUGUGACGUCCCUGUGUUCUCAGGGAGUGCCACCCUGGGCAGUGGGAGGUGUCCCUGCCCAUGGCAGGGCUAGAACUGAUGGGCUCUAAGGUGUUUCCAAACCAAACCAGUCUGGGAUUUGGUAAUUAAUGACUUUGUGCUAAUUACCCAGAGCAGCACUGGCACAAAGACUUCAUGCCCUCGGCACGCCUCACCUUCUGCAGAGGAUUUUGCUGAUUUUUGGGGUGUUGGAAGGACUGAGUGCUACACACAAGGCAAUGCUGCAUUAAUGUUAUUUAAAAAUAACAUUUAUUGAUACCCUGCAGUCAGAGUGGGAUCAAGGAGACAGAGGAAGGCCUGGCUGGUGACUUUUCCUGGUUUAAAAUUGCCCAGAGCUCUAAAGGUGCCUCACUUCCCUGGGCACGGAUAGGUGGGAGCACUGACAGCCCUCUGUGCCUGUGUGAAACACCUUCCUGCUCAUUUUGUGGCUCUCUGUUCCAUAAAGGAAAUGGAAAUGUUCAAUGUGUGAACAAAACCCUUCAGUGAAGGCAGGGAGAGCCUUGGAACAGAGAGUCCUGGCCUUGGCUGAGCCCUGAGUACAGCUUUGCUCAGAGCAGGGAACCCCAGGCUGCUUUUUGUACCCAUUUUACACCAAAUGGUUCGGUCUCUGAGUUUUGGCAGCUCGGUUUGGGGUUUUUCUCCUUGACUGUAAGGAUUCUGUGGAGUCACUGGUUUGUUUCAGAGCACUACUGGAGCCAAUUAAACAAUACUUGGUGG